Long non-coding RNA from Talpa occidentalis (Iberian mole), 826 nucleotides. RefSeq lists it as uncharacterized. Lineage: Eukaryota; Metazoa; Chordata; Mammalia; Eulipotyphla; Talpidae. The record is from RefSeq and is a predicted model, not a curated record. The transcript has 3 exons.
CUUGAGCAUGGUGGUGGAGUUCUGGAAAAUUUCCACGCACGGGGCUGUUCCAGAUGCCGCCUUUGAAGAUGACCUUCACCCAACUUCUGGAGAGCUGGCAGAGAAGAGCUUUACUUUGAGGAUUGAGGAUGGCCCGAUGCACACUUGCCUAGCCUUAUUAACCUCCUCAGACAAUGCCAACGAUCCAAGAUCCUCCAGAGCAGCCACCACCCAGAAUCUAUGAUGACCUCUAUGACAUCCAUAGAGGCUCUUUCCUUCCAUUGAGAAACAAUAAUUCAAAUGCAAAGAGAUCCAUGAAGCACUGCGUCGGAUAAAAACUCAGCGUCAACGUGGAUGUCCAUGAGCUUGGAGCCUCUAGGUUUCUGAGAGGCUGGUGGAAACAUGGGGGGCUUCCACUGAUGAAGAGAAGCAAGGCAGGAAGAGGUCCCAGCUUGCCCAUUUGUUUCCCCACAUACAUUCAGCAGGACAGGGCAGCUAGUGGCCUUGUUAGGACAGCCUCUGGGUAUGGAUUUCCUGGCAGGCCUCACUUAUUAUUUCAGAAUGCACAAUACUCUACCAAGGAGCACUGCCUGCCCCUGUUAAUCCCUUGCCAUUGGACCACCUUCUCCCCUAGGUUGGCUUUGCAAUUGCUUUUCUAUUUUCCUGUGUGAGGUUUACAUCAGCAUCACAUUUCAGUGACAAUAAAAAUGGUUCUGGCACCUUCCAAAGAGCAUAAACCCAGCAAGCAAUUAGUAAUGAAGGGAGCUGUCAAGCAUUGCUCUGAGCACACUCAGCAGGAAGGCACAAUCCAAUUUUUGGAAUAUUCAGAAAAGCAGACCACACAAUU